GUAGGUGGCAAGCGUUGUCCGGAAUUAUUGGGCGUAAAGCGCGCGCAGGCGGUUCUUUAAGUCUGAUGUGAAAGCCCACGGCUCAACCGUGGAGGGUCAUUGGAAACUGGAGAACUUGAGUACAGAAGAGGAAAGCGGAAUUCCACGUGUAGCGGUGAAAUGCGUAGGGAUGUGGAGGAACACCAGUGGCGAAGGCGGCUUUCUGGUCUGUAACUGACGCUGAGGCGCGAAAGCGUGGGGAGCAAACAGGGAUUAGAUACCCUGGUAGUCCACGCCGUAAACGAUGAGUGCUAAGUGUUAGGGGGUUUCCCGCCCCUUAGUGCUGCAGCUAACGCAUUAAGCACUCCGCCUGGGGAUACGGCCGCAAGGCUG
RNAcentral lists this ribosomal RNA (372 nucleotides) under uncultured organism. RNAcentral describes it as "partial 16S ribosomal RNA". It matches the Rfam family "Bacterial small subunit ribosomal RNA", at positions 527 to 896 of the family's 1533-position model. The record is from RNAcentral.